UACGUAGGUGGCAAGCGUUGUCCGGAUUUAUUGGGUGUAAAGGGCGUGUAGGCGGAGAAGCAAGUCAGAUGUGAAAUGCGGGGGCUCAACCCCCGGACUGCAUUUGAAACUGCUAUUCUUGAGUGAUGGAGAGGUAAGCGGAAUUCCCGGUGUAGCGGUAAAAUGCGUAGAUAUCGGGAGGAACACCAGUGGCGAAGGCGGCUUACUGGACAUUAACUGACGCUGAGGCGCGAAAGUGUGGGGAGCAAACAGG
This 253-nucleotide ribosomal RNA is filed under the name uncultured bacterium. RNAcentral's name for it is "partial 16S ribosomal RNA". It matches the Rfam family "Bacterial small subunit ribosomal RNA", at positions 524 to 776 of the family's 1533-position model. The record is from RNAcentral.